Molecule: long non-coding RNA, 1482 nt
Organism: Tympanuchus pallidicinctus (lesser prairie-chicken)
Lineage: Eukaryota; Metazoa; Chordata; Aves; Galliformes; Phasianidae
Exons: 3
Source: RefSeq, a predicted model, not a curated record
GGCGCGUUUGCAGCAGGCAGGCGUGCACAAAGCAAUGUUCACUGAAGUCUAAAAGCGUUCGGCCAAGGAAAACUGACAAGACAGACUAAUGAACCGUAGAGACGGGAAGAAAAUAGCCAGCAUUUGCUAGAUUUCAAACCCUCUCUGUCUUCCCCGGACCACCUAUCUCGGAUUUUAUUAUUAUUUUUGUGUACGGCUCCAGCCGUCCCUUUUCUAAGCCACCAGAAGCCGGCGAUUCACGGAUAACACUUCUAUUAUUGUAAAGGGUAAAUAAAAUAAAGACAAAAAUUAAAAGCGACAAGAACCAGGUCGAGUUUGCAGGCGACGCUUUUACAAGCUCAUCUCGCCAGGUCGAAUCCGGGAGCAAGCCUUAAUGAAGCAAUAAUAGCCGCAUUAUUCAAAAAUUUUCAUUUCGAUGGAAAUUUAUCUAAAAGGGACUUAAUCAUAUGCAAAUAAUAAAAGGAGGCGUAGUGACCCGGCGAGCGCUCUGCAUACAGAUCUCAACGCGCGGCACUGCGGGACCGUACCUGAUCGCCGGUGAUUUCAUCGCAAACCCUUUCCAAAGGGGGAUGAGGAGAGGAAAAGGGAUUAAAACAACAACAACGACGACAAAACCACCAAGAAAACAAAACGAUGCUCAGUGCUGAGAUACGCUGCAGGCACCCGAGCCGUACCUGCGCUGCCCGCACAAACGGGGCAGAUUUUAGCGCAUUUCCUACGGGGAGAAAAGGGACUGAGUGCCGAUGACGGGGAGGCAGCCCUCGCUCCGCUCGGGUGGCACCGCACCGCGGACGCAGCGCCGUUGCGGGGCCGCAGCGCUUUCUCCUCCCGGAGGUGCGCGGUCGUUGCCGGUGGCCAAAACCAGAAGCCGGCCCCGGCGCCCGGCUCUGCUUUGUCUCUGCGAAACGUUACGGGACAGCCCCGUGCCCUCGGCCUGACCCCCGGUGAUGGCUCUUCAGAUAGAAAUAAAUAAAGCGACAAACAAACAAGCGAAUAAAUAAAACAAACCCCAUCCCGACUGACUGCCUCCGACCCCGUUUGUCCUUCCCAUCCGCCCCCACUUCAUCCCCGCUAAAUAAAUCCUCCCCUUCACCCCCAAACCCCAGCGCCGGGGCUCGGAGCGCAGAGCGGAGCGGUGCCGUUCGGCACCCGGGGCUGCGGCUGAGUACAAAGAGCACAAUGAGAGCAGGGCCCGGGCGUGGGGAGCCGGGCGUGGGGCUGCAAUUGUAAUUAAACUGCGAAGAGAAAUGGACGCCGAGAUUGGUCUUGACACUAAUUACCAGCCAGAAAGACAUUUAUGCAAAUUUACCAGAAGCCUCAACUUCUGCGGGGCUGAAACGGAGGGGGAAGAAGGAGAGAGAGACAAAAAAUUACCUUCUCUAAUUCCAACAGAUGAAACCUUAAUACUUGUAUGGCUUGGAUCAUCUGCAAAGACACAAACAGCACGUUUAUCCCCCUCCGGGUGGGGCCACUCUUACCCCC